RNAcentral lists this ribosomal RNA (1500 nucleotides) under uncultured bacterium. Its description in RNAcentral is "16S ribosomal RNA". It matches the Rfam family "Bacterial small subunit ribosomal RNA". The record is from RNAcentral.
AGAGUUUGAUCCUGGCUCAGGACGAACGUUGGCGGCGUGCUUAACACAUGCAAGUCGAGCGGUUGAGAGGUGGGAGGUGAGAGGUUAGAAGUGGGAGAAAGAACGUGGAUAAUCUGCCUGUAAGACAGGGAUAACGCCGGGAAACCGGUGCUAAUACCGGAUAACCUCUUUGGAUCGCAUGAUUUGAAGAGAAAAGGUGGCCUCUUAACAAUGCUACCACUUACAGAUGAAUCCGCGUCCCAUUAGCCAGUUGGUGGGGUAAAGGCCUACCAAAGCGACGAUGGGUAGCCGGCCUGAGAGGGUGACCGGCCACACUGGAACUGAGAUACGGUCCAGACUCCUACGGGAGGCAGCAGUGGGGAAUCUUCCGCAAUGGGCGAAAGCCUGACGGAGCAACGCCGCGUGAGCGAAGAAGGUUUUCGGAUUGUAAAAUGCUGUUUAAAUAAUGGGAAAGAAUGACGGUACAAUAAGAGGAAGCCACGGCUAACUACGUGCCAGCAGCCGCGGUAAUACGUAGGUGGCAAACGUUGUCCGGAAUUACUGGGCGUAAAGGGCGAGUAGGUGGUUUACUAAGUCAAAAGUGAAAACUCCGGGCUCAACUUGGAGACUGCUCCUGAAACUGGUAGACUUGAGUGCAAGAGAGGGAAGUGGAAUUCCUAGUGUAGCGGUGAAAUGCGUAGAUAUUGGGAGGAAUACCGGUGGCGAAGGCGACUUCCUGGCUUGUAACUGACACUGAGGUGCGAAAGCGUGGGGAUCAAACAGGAUUAGAUACCCUGGUAGUCCACGCCGUAAACGAUGGAUACUAGGUGUAGGAGGUAUCGACCCCUUCUGUGCCGGAGUUAACACAAUAAGUAUCCCACCUGGGGAGUACGGCCGCAAGGUUGAAACUCAAAGGAAUUGACGGGGGCCCGCACAAGCAGCGGAGCAUGUGGUUUAAUUCGAAGCAACGCGAAGAACCUUACCAGGACUUGACAUCCAAAGAAUUUCGUUGAAACACGGGAGUGCCCUUCAGCCAGCUGAGGCCGCUUACAAGGUGCUGCAUGGUUGUCGUCAGCUCGUGUCGUGAGAUGUUGGGUUAAGUCCCGCAACGAGCGCAACCCCUGUAUUUAGUUGCUAACGAGUAAUGUCGGGCACUCUAGACAGACUGCCGGUGAUAAACCGGAGGAAGGUGGGGAUGACGUCAAAUCAUCAUGCCCCUUAUGUCCUGGGCUACACACGUGCUACAAUGGCCGGUACAGACGGACGCGAAGCCGCGAGGGGGAAGCGAAUCCCGUAAACCAUGUCUCAGUUCAGAUCGCGGGCUGCAACUCGCCUGCAUGAAGUCGGAAUCGCUAGUAAUCGCAGGUCAGCAUACUGCGGUGAAUACGUUCCCGGGCCUUGUACACACCGCCCGUCACACCACGAAAGUCUGCAACACCCGAAGCCGGUGAGGUAACCCGUAAGGGAGCUAGCCGUCGAAGGUGGGGCCGAUAAUUGGGGUGAAGUCGUAACAAGGUAACC